GACGAACGCUGGCGGCGUGCUUAACACAUGCAAGUCGAACGGAAAGGCCCUGCUUUUGUGGGGUGCUCGAGUGGCGAACGGGUGAGUAACACGUGAGUAACCUGCCCUUGACUUUGGGAUAACUUCAGGAAACUGGGGCUAAUACCGGAUAGGAGCUCCUGCUGCAUGGUGGGGGUUGGAAAGUUUCGGCGGUUGGGGAUGGACUCGCGGCUUAUCAGCUUGUUGGUGGGGUAGUGGCUUACCAAGGCUUUGACGGGUAGCCGGCCUGAGAGGGUGACCGGCCACAUUGGGACUGGGAUACGGCCCAGACUCCUACGGGAGGCAGCAGUGGGGAAUAUUGCACAAUGGGCGGAAGCCUGAUGCAGCAACGCCGCGUGCGGGAUGACGGCCUUCGGGUUGUAAACCGCUUUCGCCUGUGACGAAGCGUGAGUGACGGUAAUGGGUAAAGAAGCACCGGCUAACUACGG
RNAcentral lists this ribosomal RNA (467 nucleotides) under uncultured bacterium. RNAcentral describes it as "partial 16S ribosomal RNA". It matches the Rfam family "Bacterial small subunit ribosomal RNA", at positions 28 to 506 of the family's 1533-position model. The record is from RNAcentral.